This 310-nucleotide unclassified non-coding RNA is filed under the name Hevea brasiliensis (rubber tree). Lineage: Eukaryota; Viridiplantae; Streptophyta; Magnoliopsida; Malpighiales; Euphorbiaceae. The record is from RNAcentral.
CAGCCGAUGCAGUAUCAUAAGUUGCACGAGUAUUAUUGCCAGUAUUGCCAUCAGUAGAAUACGAAGCAGGCUGAGAAUAACCACCACCAUAAGAAGUGUUGUAAGGCGGCAUCCCCUGCCCAUAACCGGAUUGACCAGCUGGUGCUGAACCAUAAGGUGGACCAUACCCAGGUUGAGAACCUGAUGCACCAAACCCAGAUGGUGGUGGACGUUGUGGACCUGAAUCUGAUUGGGUAUAGCCAGAUGGUGGUGGCUGAGAAGGGGGAUAUCCAGGCUGCACAGGGGUAGCCUGGCCAUAACCUCCAGGGGU